GCCCCGUAAUCGGAAUGAGUACACUUUAAAUCCUUUAACAAGGAUCCAUUGGAGGGCAAGUCUGGUGCCAGCAGCCGCGGUAAUUCCAGCUCCAAUAGCGUAUAUUAAAGUUGUUGCGGUUAAAAAGCUCGUAGUUGGUUCUGCGUGCCGCGCUGUCGGUUCGCCGCCUGUCGGUGUAACUGGCAUGUCGCGGCAUGUCCUGUCGGUGGUGAACGGAGUCCACAAUGCUACAUAGGCUUUAUAGCCGAUGUUAGCGUCGUGUGUACUUCCGUUGGCCGAUCUCUCCUACUUCGGUGCUCUUAAACGAGUGUCGAGGUAGGCCGACACGUUCACUUUGAACAAAUUAGAGUGCUUAAAGCAGGCUGAAAUAUCUGCCUGAAUAGUGGUGCAUGGAAUGAUAAAACAGGACCUCGGUUCUAUUUUGUUGGUUUUAGGAAUAUGAGGUAAUGAUCAAUGUGGACUGGCGGGGGCAUUCGUAUUGCGACGUUAGAGGUGAAAUUCUUGGAUCGUCGCAAGACGCACUAGAGCGAAAGCAUUUGCCAAGUAUGUCUUAAUUGAUCAAGAACGAAAGUUAGAGGUUCGAAGGCGAUCAGAUACCGCCCUAGUUCUAACCAUAAACGAUGCCAGCCAGCGAUCCGCCGAUGUUCCUUUAAUGACUCGGCGGGGAGCUUCCACCCGGGAAACCAAAGCUUUUGGGUUCCGGGGGAAGUAUGGUU
RNAcentral lists this ribosomal RNA (716 nucleotides) under Panstrongylus chinai. RNAcentral's name for it is "SSU rRNA". It matches the Rfam family "Eukaryotic small subunit ribosomal RNA", at positions 500 to 1130 of the family's 1831-position model. Lineage: Eukaryota; Metazoa; Arthropoda; Insecta; Hemiptera; Reduviidae. The record is from RNAcentral.